This 253-nucleotide ribosomal RNA is filed under the name uncultured bacterium. RNAcentral's name for it is "partial 16S ribosomal RNA". It matches the Rfam family "Bacterial small subunit ribosomal RNA", at positions 524 to 776 of the family's 1533-position model. The record is from RNAcentral.
UACGGAGGGGGCUAGCGUUGUUCGGAGUUACUGGGCGUAAAGAGUGCGUAGGCGGUUUCGCAAGUUUGGUGUGAAAUCUCCCGGCUUAACUGGGAGGGUGCGCCGAAAACUGCGAGGCUUGAGAGUGGGAGAGGUAAGCGGAAUUCCCGGUGUAGCGGUGAAAUGCGUAGAUAUCGCGAGGAACACCAGCGGUGUAGACGGCUUACUGGACCACGACUGACGCUGAGGCACGAAAGCGUGGGGAGCAAACAGG